GACGAACGCUGGCGGCGUGCCUAAUACAUGCAAGUAGGACGCAGUUGCGAACGGGUGAGUAACGCGUAGGUAACUACCUAUUAGAGGGGGAUAACUAUUGGAAACGAUAGCUAAUACCGCAUACUAGUAGAUGGACCUGCGUUGUAUUAGCUAGUAGGUGGGGUAAUGGCCUACCUAGGCAACGAUACAUAGCCGAGCCGGGAGGGUGACCGGCCAAACUGGGACUGGAGCACGGCCCAGGCUCCUACGGGAGGCAGGAGUUGGGAAACGUCGGAAAUGGGGGGAACCCUGAACGAGCAACGCCGCGGGAGUGAAGAAGGUUUUCGGAUCGUAAAGCUCUGUUGUUAAGGAAGCGGUACUUAACCAGAAAGGGACGGCUAACUACGUGCCAGCAGCCGCGGUAAUUC
Molecule: ribosomal RNA, 407 nt
Filed under: uncultured bacterium
Lineage: Bacteria
Description: partial 16S ribosomal RNA
Rfam family: Bacterial small subunit ribosomal RNA
Source: RNAcentral